This 2123-nucleotide ribosomal RNA is filed under the name metagenome. RNAcentral describes it as "bacterial LSU rRNA". It matches the Rfam family "Bacterial large subunit ribosomal RNA", at positions 199 to 2338 of the family's 2925-position model. The record is from RNAcentral.
CAUCUAAGUACCUGGAGGAAGAGAAAACAAUAGUGAUUUCCAGAGUAGUGGCGAGCGAAAUGGAAAUAGCCCAAACCAUUUUUGUUUAGGCAAAAAUGGGGUUGUAGGACUACAAUAUUUCAUGUACUAUGAAGUAGAAUACAUUGGAAAAUGUAACCAAAGAGGGUGAUAGUCCCGUACACGUAAAUACGUAUUUAUGAAUAGUAGUAUCCUGAGUAGCGCGGAACAUGUGAAAUUCUGUGUGAAUCUGCCGGAACCAUCCGGUAAGGCUAAAUACUCCUGUGAGACCGAUAGUGAACUAGUACCGUGAGGGAAAGGUGAAAAGUACCCUGAAAAAGGGANUGAAAUAGACCCUGAAACCGUAUGCUUACAAGCGGUCGGAGCUAAUUUAUUAGUGACGGCGUGCCUUUUGCAUAAUGAUCCUACGAGUUACUCCUCUCUAGCAAGGUUAAAGACUUAAGGUCUGGAGCCGGAGCGAAAGCAAGUCUUAAUAGGGCGUUGAGUUAGAGGGGGUAGACGCGAAACCGAGUGAUCUACCCAUGACCAGGUUGAAGCUUCGUUAACCCGAAGUGGAGGACCGAACCAGUANACGUUGAAAAGUNUUUGGAUGAGUUGUGGGUAGGGGUGAAAGGCCAAUCAAACUCGGAAAUAGCUCGUACUCUCCGAAAUGCAUUUAGGUGCAGCGUUAUAUUCAGUAUCAUAGAGGUAGAGCUACUGAUUGGAUGCGGGGGCUUCACCGCCUACCUAGUCCAGACAAACUCCGAAUACUACUGAUAUUUAUAUAGCAGUGAGGGCAUGGGUGCUAAGGUCCAUGUCCGAGAGGGAAACAACCCAGAUCAUCAGCUAAGGUCCCAAAAUUAUAGUUAAGUUGAAAUAAACGAAGUUUGAUUGCUUAGACAGCUAGGAUGUUGGCUUGGAAGCAGCCAUUCAUUUAAAGAGUGCGUAACAGCUCACUAGUCGAGCGAUCGAGCAUGGAUAAUAAUCGGGCAUAAACUAUAUACCGAAGCUAUGAACUUCUUUUGAAGUGGUAGGAGAGCAUUCCAGCGACGCUGAAGGUGAAUCGUGAGAUUUGCUGGAGUUUCUGGAAAAGAAAAUGUAGGAAUGAGUAACGAUAAAGCGGGCGAGAAACCCGCUCACCAAUAGACUAAGGUUUCCUGAUCAACGCUAAUCGGAUCAGGGUUAGUCGGGUCCUAAGGCGAACCCUAAUGGGGUAGUCGAUGGAUAACGGGUUAAUAUUCCCGUACUACUGUAUACUGCGAUGUGGUGACGGAGUAGUGAAACUCUUGCGUACUGACGGAAUAGUACGUUGAAAGGGAGUAGGUAUUAAUUAAAUAGGAAAAUCCGUUUAGUUAGCUGAACCCUGAUAGUACCAUGAGUCCUCGGACAAGUGGAUAAUAGAGCUAAUCAGACUUCCAAGAAAAACCGCUAAGCUUCAGGUAUAUAGUACCCGUACCGUAAACCGACACAGGUAGUCAAGUAGAGAAUACUAAGGUGCUCGAGUGAUUCAUGGCUAAGGAACUAGGCAAAAUAGUCUCGUAACUUCGGGAGAAGAGACGCCAUCUUCGGAUGGCCGCAGUGAAAUGGCCCAGGCGACUGUUUAUCAAAAACACAGGACUCUGCUAAAUCGAAAGAUGAUGUAUAGGGUCUGACACCUGCCCGGUGCCGGAAGGUUAAGAGGAGAUGUUAUCCUUUUGGAGAAGCAUUGAAUUGAAGCCCCGGUAAACGGCGGCCGUAACAAUAACGGUCCUAAGGUAGCGAAAUUCCUUGUCGGGUAAGUUCCGACCCGCAAUGAANGGNGUAACGAUCUGGGCACUGUCUCAGCCAUGAGCUCGGUGAAAUUGUAGUAUCGGUGAAGAUGCCGAUUAACCGCUACGGGACGGAAAGACCCCGUGAACCUUCACUACAACUUAGUGUUGACUUUGGAAAAAUGAUGUGUAGGAUAGGUGGGAGACUUUGAAGCGUUGCCGCUAGGCAAUGUGGAGUCGUUGUUGAAAUACCACCCUUCAUUUUUCUGAAGCCUAACCUUUAACGAGGAACAGCGCUUGGUGGGUAGUUUGACUGGGGUGGUCGCCUCCAAAAGAGUAACGGAGGCUUCUAAAGGUACCCUCAGCACGCUUGGUAAC